Molecule: unclassified non-coding RNA, 253 nt
Filed under: uncultured Planctomycetales bacterium
Lineage: Bacteria; Pseudomonadati; Planctomycetota; Planctomycetia; Planctomycetales
Description: contains 16S-23S intergenic spacer region
Rfam family: Bacterial small subunit ribosomal RNA
Source: RNAcentral
UACGAACUGUGCGAACGUUAUUCGGAAUCACUGGGCUUAAAGGGUGCGUAGGCGGUUAUUUAAGUAGGAUGUGAAAUCUCCCGGCUCAACCGGGGAACUGCGUUCUAAACUGGAUAACUUGAGUGAGAUAGAGGUGUGCGGAACUUCCGGUGGAGCGGUGAAAUGUGUUGAUAUCGGAGGGAACACCGUUGGCGAAAGCGGCACACUGGGUCUUAACUGACGCUGAGGCACGAAAGCCAGGGGAGCAAACGGG